RNAcentral lists this ribosomal RNA (305 nucleotides) under uncultured bacterium. Its description in RNAcentral is "bacterial SSU rRNA". It matches the Rfam family "Bacterial small subunit ribosomal RNA", at positions 28 to 333 of the family's 1533-position model. The record is from RNAcentral.
GACGAACGCUGGCGGCGUGCUUAACACAUGCAAGUCGAGCGGUAAGGCCCUUUCGGGGGUACGACGAGCGGCGAACGGGUGAGUAACACGUGGGUGACCUGCCCUUAGCUCUGGGAGUAAGCCUGGGAAACUGGGUCUAAUACCGGAUAUGACUCCAUGACGCAUGUUGUGGGGUGGAAAGCCUUGUGCGGCUAGGGAUGGGCCCGCGGCCUAUCAGCUUGUUGGUGGGGUGAUGGCCACCAAGGCGACGACGGUAGCCGGCCUGAGAGGGCGACCGGCCGACACUGGGACUGAGACACGGCCCA